GAAAUACAAAGAUUAAUAACACAGAAUAAAUCAUAGUUAAUUACUGGGAAGAGAUGGAAGGCAACUUCAGUGGUUGUAUCAUCUUACUGGAUGGAAUUGGAGGGGGAAAUUUAAUGUAAUUGUCACAAACACAAGGCCAAAAAAAAACAUUACAAGUUCAGUUCCUUGAACUUUCUGUUUCUAGGAAGUGUGUUGCUCAUUAGCUGUGGGAGAAAUACAGUCACAGCUGGCGAAAGCUUUCAGAAUUUACGUGCAGACAGAAAAUGCUGGAAGUCAUGACUGAGUCUUUCUCAAUAAGGAAGUGACCUGAAAGAAUGUUUGUGAAGAAUGUGGAGGGUCAACCAGCACCUGAAAGGCUGGGGAAAGGAAGAGAAGAGGAAAACCUUCUUUUGCUAAUGUUAUCAGUGGAGACCAUCCCAGGCUCUUGGCAUUUUGAACAAAGACUUGACCAGCCAGUGGCUGUGUGGCCUAAUGGAUAAGGCAUCUGACUUCAGAUCAGAAGAUUGCAGCUCCUGUGUCCCCAGCUUUAGCUCAACCCUCCUGAGAGAGUGGGUAUUCUUUUGAAUGGUCAAAGGAAAAAGAAGGUAUCAAUACAACUGUGACGAAAAGAUAAGCAAUUUGGGCCUUUAGGAAGUUUGUGAACAUGGAAGACAAAUAACCAACUAGAACGGUCCUGACAUCUUCAUAACUGCAGUCUGCGGAAGUAAAAAGGAAUGAGAUUGCAUCUCACUAUGUUGCCCAGGCUCAUCUUGAACUCCUGGACUCAAGCGAUUCAACUGCCUUGGCCUCCAAAAGUGCUGAGAUUACAGGCGUGAGUCCCCAUGCCUAGCCAAGAUGACCUUUUCAACAAACGGUAUUUAGCCUAAUGGAUAUCCACAUCUUGACCCCUACCUCACAUUAUACACAAAUCUCAAUUCUAAAUAAAUUGUAGUUCCACAUCUAAAAAGACAAUACAUCCUCUAGAAGAAAUCAUAGAAUAUUUUCAUUUAUUCAGGGAAGGAAAAGAUGGUUUAAAUGGGACAGAAAAACUGCCAAUGAAAAAGGAUAUAAUUAAAAUGAACUACAUUAAAAUUUUAAAAUUCUGAAUUUCUUAUCAAAGAUACUAAGACUAAAAAUACAAGGCACUCAGUAGAUAUAAAAAGUCAGUCAAUGGACUUGUACCUAGAAUAUAUAAAGAACUAAUCAAUAAAAAAUAGACAUCUAGGCUGGGCAUGGUGGCUUACACCUGUAAUCUCAGCACUUUGGG
Molecule: long non-coding RNA, 1246 nt
Organism: Chlorocebus sabaeus (green monkey)
Lineage: Eukaryota; Metazoa; Chordata; Mammalia; Primates; Cercopithecidae
Source: RefSeq, a predicted model, not a curated record